This 440-nucleotide ribosomal RNA is filed under the name uncultured bacterium. RNAcentral describes it as "partial 16S ribosomal RNA". It matches the Rfam family "Bacterial small subunit ribosomal RNA", at positions 338 to 795 of the family's 1533-position model. The record is from RNAcentral.
CCUACGGGUGGCAGCAGUAAGGGAUAUUGGUCAAUGGGGGAAACCCUGAACCAGCAACGCCGCGUGAGGGAAGACGGUUUUCGGAUUGUAAACCUCUGUCCUCGGGGAAGAGGAUGACGGUAGCAGAGGAGGAAGCUCCGGCUAACUACGUGCCAGCAGCCGCGGGAAUACGUAGGGAGCGAGCGUGGUCCGGAUUUACUGGGUGUAACGGGUGCGGAGGCGGCCUGGCAAGUCAGUAGGGAAAUCCAUGGGCUUAACCCAUGAACUGCUAUUGAAACUGUCGAGCUUGAGUGAAGUAGAGGUCGGCGGAAUUCCCGGUGUAGCGGUGCAAUGCGUAGCUAUCGGGAGGAACACCAGUGGCGAAGGCGGCCUACUGGGCUUUAACUGACGCUGAGGCACGAAAGCGUGGGUAGCAAACAGGAUUAGAUACCCUAGUAGUC